ACAAGUGGAGCCUUAAUUGGGGGGCAACAAUGGCAAUCCACACUGAAAUCGAUCUUUUUUAGAGCUGAGAGCACCUAUCUAGCCAAACACCCCAUUUUUGUUCUGGAGUUUUGGAGCGGAGCUGGCUCCAUGUGGAGUUCUGGAGUGGAGCAGCUCCAUCCGGAGUUGGAGCCAUGCCAAACAGGGCCUAAAUAUUACUAAAUUAAUCUAAUAGUAAACAUCGGGUCAAUAUACAUGACAAG
Molecule: long non-coding RNA, 242 nt
Filed under: Setaria italica (foxtail millet)
Lineage: Eukaryota; Viridiplantae; Streptophyta; Magnoliopsida; Poales; Poaceae
Description: long non-coding RNA (SITA_LNC005910)
Source: RNAcentral